GAUGAAGAACGCAGCGAAAUGCGAUACGUAAUGUGAAUUGCAGAAUUCAGUGAAUCAUCGAAUCUUUGAACGCAUAUUGCGCUCUCUGGUAUUCCGGAGAGCAUGCUUGUUUGAGUAUCAGUAAACACCUCAACUUCCAUAUCUUUUUUGAAAUGGGAGUUGGACUUGAGUGAUCCCAACGCUUUUCCUCACCGAAAAGUGGCGGGUUACUUGAAAUGCAGGUGCAGCUGGACUUUUCUCUGAGCUAUAAGCAUAUCUAUUUAGUCUGCCUAAAAAACAGAUUAUUACCUUUGCUGCAGCUAACAUAAAGGAGAUUAGUUCUUGUGCUGACUGAUGCAGGAUUCACAAAGACGGCUUCGGCCGACUUUGUAAACUCGAUCUCAAAUCAAGUAAGACUACCCGCUGAACUUAAGCAUAUCAAUAAGCGGAAGA
This 432-nucleotide unclassified non-coding RNA is filed under the name soil metagenome. Its description in RNAcentral is "partial contains 5.8S ribosomal RNA, internal transcribed spacer 2, and large subunit ribosomal RNA". The stretch from base 1 to 120 matches the Rfam family "5.8S ribosomal RNA", at positions 35 to 154 of the family's 154-position model. The record is from RNAcentral.